This 72-nucleotide transfer RNA is filed under the name Camelus bactrianus (Bactrian camel). It matches the Rfam family "tRNA". From Rfam's summary of the family: Transfer RNA (tRNA) molecules are approximately 80 nucleotides in length. Their secondary structure includes four short double-helical elements and three loops (D, anti-codon, and T loops). Further hydrogen bonds mediate the characteristic L-shaped molecular structure. tRNAs have two regions of fundamental functional importance: the anti-codon, which is responsible for specific mRNA codon recognition, and the 3' end, to which the tRNAs corresponding amino acid is attached (by aminoacyl-tRNA synthetases). tRNAs cope with the degeneracy of the genetic code in two manners: having more than one tRNA (with a specific anti-codon) for a particular amino acid; and 'wobble' base-pairing, i.e. permitting non-standard base-pairing at the 3rd anti-codon position. The record is from Rfam by way of RNAcentral. Lineage: Eukaryota; Metazoa; Chordata; Mammalia; Artiodactyla; Camelidae. RNAcentral also lists the same sequence under 2 other names.
GAGGGUAUAGCUCAGCGGUACAGCACGUGCUUAGCAUGCAUGAGGUCCUGGGUUUAAUCCCUAAUACUUCUA